RNAcentral lists this ribosomal RNA (253 nucleotides) under uncultured bacterium. RNAcentral describes it as "partial 16S ribosomal RNA". It matches the Rfam family "Bacterial small subunit ribosomal RNA", at positions 524 to 776 of the family's 1533-position model. The record is from RNAcentral.
UACAGAGGUGGCAAGCGUUGUUCGGAUUUACUGGGCGUAAAGGGUGCGUAGGUGGUUGCGUGGGUCGGAUGUGAAAUCUCACCGUCCAACUGUGAAACUGCAUUCGAAACUGCGGAACUAGAGUACAGGAGGGGAGAGCGGAAUUCUCGGUGUAGCGGUGAAAUGCGUGGAUAUCGAGAAGAACGCCGGUGGCGAAGGCGGCUCUCUGGACUGAUACUGACACUGAUGCACGAAAGCUGGGGGAGCAAACAGG